CCUACGGGAGGCAGCAGUGAGGAAUAUUGGUCAAUGGGCGCGAGCCUGAACCAGCCAAGUCGCGUGAGUGAAGACGGUCCUAUGGACUGUAAACCUCUUUUGUCGGGGAGCAAAAGACGCCACGCGUGGCGUUCCGAGAGUACCCGAAGAAAAAGCAUCGGCUCACUCCGUGCCAGCAGCCGCGGUAAUACGGGGGAUGCGAGCGUUAGCCGGAUUGAUUGGGUUUAAAGGGUGCGCAGGCGGAAGAUCAAGUCAGCGGUAAAAUUGAGAGGCUCAACCUCUCCGAGCCGUUGAAACUGGUUUUCUUGAGUGAGUGAGAAGUAUGCGGAAUGCGUGGUGUAGCGGUGAAAUGCAUAGAUAUCACGCAGAACUCCGAUUGCGAAGGCAGCAUACCGGCGCUCAACUGACGCUCAUGCACGAAAGUGUGGGUAUCGAACAGGAUUAGAUACCCCAGUAGUC
This 459-nucleotide ribosomal RNA is filed under the name uncultured bacterium. Its description in RNAcentral is "partial 16S ribosomal RNA". It matches the Rfam family "Bacterial small subunit ribosomal RNA", at positions 338 to 795 of the family's 1533-position model. The record is from RNAcentral.